RNAcentral lists this ribosomal RNA (253 nucleotides) under uncultured bacterium. RNAcentral describes it as "partial 16S ribosomal RNA". It matches the Rfam family "Bacterial small subunit ribosomal RNA", at positions 524 to 776 of the family's 1533-position model. The record is from RNAcentral.
UACGGGGGGGGCAAGCGUUGUUCGGAAUUACUGGGCGUAAAGGGUUCGUAGGUGGCUUGCUAAGUCAGACGUGAAAUCCCUCAGCUUAACUGGGGAACUGCGUCUGAGACUGGUGAGCUUGAGUGCAGGAGAGGAACGCGGAAUUCCAGGUGUAGCGGUGAAAUGCGUAGAUAUCUGGAGGAACACCGGUGGCGAAGGCGGCAUCCUGGACCGACACUGACACUGAGGAGCGAAAGCCAGGGGAGCAAACGGG